GACGAACGCUGGCGGCGUGCCUAAUACAUGCAAGUAGAACGCUGAAGCUUGGUGCUUGCACCGAGCGGAUGAGUUGCGAACGGGUGAGUAACGCGUAGGUAACCUGCCUGGUAGCGGGGGAUAACUAUUGGAAACGAUAGCUAAUACCGCAUAAGAGUAGAUGUUGCAUGACAUUUGCUUAAAAGGUGCAAUUGCAUCACUACCAGAUGGACCUGCGUUGUAUUAGCUAGUUGGUGAGGUAACGGCUCACCAAGGCAACGAUACAUAGCCGACCUGAGAGGGGGAUCGGCCACACUGGGACUGAGACACGGCCCAGACUCCUACGGGAGGCAGCAGUAGGGAAUCUUCGGCAAUGGACGGAAGUCUGACCGAGCAACGCCGCGUGAGUGAAGAAGGUUUUCGGAUCGUAAAGCUCUGUUGCAAGAGAAGAACGAGUGUGAGAGUGGAAAGUUCACACUGUGACGGUAUCUUACCAGAAAGGGACGGCUAACUACGUG
This 497-nucleotide ribosomal RNA is filed under the name uncultured bacterium. RNAcentral describes it as "partial 16S ribosomal RNA". It matches the Rfam family "Bacterial small subunit ribosomal RNA", at positions 28 to 507 of the family's 1533-position model. The record is from RNAcentral.